Molecule: ribosomal RNA, 380 nt
Filed under: uncultured organism
Description: partial 16S ribosomal RNA
Rfam family: Bacterial small subunit ribosomal RNA
Source: RNAcentral
GUAGGGAGCAAGCGUUGUUCGGAAUUAUUGGGCGUAAAGAGCGCGUAGGCGGCUAGGCAAGUCUGAUGUGAAAUCCCACAGCUCAACUGUGGAACUGCAUUGGAAACUGCUUAGCUGGAGUGCGGGAGAGGAGAGUGGAAUUCCCAGUGUAGAGGUGAAAUUCGUAGAUAUUGGGAGGAACACCGGUGGCGAAGGCGGCUCUCUGGACCGCAACUGACGCUGAGGCGCGAAAGCUAGGGGGGGAGCGAACGGGAUUAGAUACCCCGGUAGUCCUAGCCGUAAACGAUGGGCACUAGGUGUGGGAGGUAUCGACCCCCCCCCUUCUGUGCCGCAGCUAACGCAUUAAGUGCCCCCCGCCUGGGAGUACGGUCGCAAGACUA